Molecule: ribosomal RNA, 501 nt
Filed under: Triticum aestivum (bread wheat)
Lineage: Eukaryota; Viridiplantae; Streptophyta; Magnoliopsida; Poales; Poaceae
Description: partial small subunit ribosomal RNA
Source: RNAcentral
AUGAUCCCCGAGAAGAGGAUUCAUAUUAUAGUAGGUUUGUUUUCCAUUUCCAGGUCCCAUCCUUUUUUCGGGAAAUUCUUUUUUCAUUUUCCCAUCGGCCUAGAAUUGCCUUUCCUUCUCCUUUUGAUUUUUGUAUCAUUAUUAUUACUUUGGUUUCUUAAUAGGGGGAUGAUUCGUCGUGUAACCCGUUCCCCCAACGAAUUGCAUUUUCUUUUUCUUUGAUUUUUGUUUACCCAUGGAUUUCGUUUUGAAACUGUUUUAUUAGAUGACGGAGAGAAAGUUUUACCAAAUCCUGCAGGGGGUCAGGCUCAACCCGCAGACGCACCGCCAGCUCCACCAGUUGAAGUCCCUGCCAUUUUGAACCCGCCCCAGUUUCCAUCAUCCUUGGAUCCAGGCAGAAGGUCAGAGGAUCGAGUGCAAGAUGGCGCAGAGGCAGCAGCCAUGGGUUGUUGCUUGUCUUUUGUCGAGUGUCUCUGCACCAUGUGGUGCGAUAGCUUUUAG